AACCCUUCAAGCUCUGCUUGGUGUUGGGCGUUUGUCUCUUGUGGACUCGCCUCAAAUUCAUUGGCAGCCGGUAAGUUGGCUUCGUGCGCAGCACAUUGCGUCGCGACUCCAGCGUGCCUCCUCCCAUCAAGACCUUCUAUCA
This 142-nucleotide unclassified non-coding RNA is filed under the name uncultured Pleomassariaceae. RNAcentral describes it as "sequence contains ITS2". The record is from RNAcentral. Lineage: Eukaryota; Fungi; Ascomycota; Dothideomycetes; Pleosporales.